Molecule: long non-coding RNA, 412 nt
Filed under: Pan troglodytes (chimpanzee)
Lineage: Eukaryota; Metazoa; Chordata; Mammalia; Primates; Hominidae
Description: long non-coding RNA NONPTRT000078
Source: RNAcentral
AGGGCAGGAGAGGAGGGAGAGGGUGGAGCCCAGGAGGUAGCCUGGGUCCUCGCUAGCUGGAGAGGGUGCGAUUGAAUGAAAAAUGACUCAUGGAAGGGCCCGACUGUGGGGGAAGACCCUGCGAUUGGUCUUGUGGUCCCAAGGAACGGAUACCUCUGCAACUAUCUGCAACCUGGACCUCUGCAACAGAAAUCUCAGGCUCCAGAGAAGCACAUAGAUCCAGCGUUCAAGGAGCAUACAUUCGGGUGAGAGACAGACACAGGGACAGCCAACUGAAUACACAGAGAAGCAGCUUAGGAAACCAGCCAGAGGCUGAGCUGAAACCUAACGUCUCACCCUGAGUGGCUCCAUCACUUGGAGGAAGGCCUGCACACUCUGAGACCUAAAGGAUGCUGGUAGGGCUUGAAUUGUG